This 339-nucleotide unclassified non-coding RNA is filed under the name uncultured fungus. Its description in RNAcentral is "partial contains 5.8S ribosomal RNA and internal transcribed spacer 2". The stretch from base 1 to 133 matches the Rfam family "5.8S ribosomal RNA", at positions 22 to 154 of the family's 154-position model. The record is from RNAcentral. Lineage: Eukaryota; Fungi.
UGGUUCUGGCAUCGAUGAAGAACGCAGCAAAAUGCGAUAAGUAGUGUGAAUUAUAGAAUUUAGUGAAUCAUCAAAUCUUUAAACGCACAUUGCGCCCCUUGGUAUUCUAUAGGGCAUGCCUGUUCAAGCGUUAUUUACCUCCCUCCAGCAUUGCUUAGUGUUGGGCGCCUGUCUAAGUGUCUUUUCGCGUGGACUCGCCUUAAAGGCAUUAGCAGCGGUUCAUCUAGGACUCCUAAUCGCGCAGCACUGUUCGCGCUUUCUAGAGCCUACGUGGAUUUGGCGUCUAUAAGACCUUAAUCAUCUGAAUUUAACCUCAGAUUAGGUAGGGAUACCCGCUGA